AUACGGAGGGGGCAAGCGUUGUUCGGAAUUACUGGGCGUAAAGGGCGCGUAGGCGGAUUGGUUAGUCAGAUGUGAAAUCCCCGAGCUUAACUUGGGAACUGCAUUUGAUACUGCUGAUCUAGAGACCGGGAGAGGAUAGUGGAAUUCCCAGUGUAGAGGUGAAAUUCGUAGAUAUUUGGAAGAACACCAGUGGCGAAGGCGGCUAUCUGGACCGGUACUGACGCUGAGGCGCGAAAGCGUGGGGAGCAAACAGGAUUAGAAACCCUAGUAGUCC
RNAcentral lists this ribosomal RNA (274 nucleotides) under uncultured bacterium. RNAcentral's name for it is "partial 16S ribosomal RNA". It matches the Rfam family "Bacterial small subunit ribosomal RNA", at positions 523 to 796 of the family's 1533-position model. The record is from RNAcentral.